UGGGGAAUCUUGGACAAUGGGGGCAACCCUGAUCCAGCCAUGCCGCGUGAGUGAUGAAGGCCUUAGGGUCGUAAAGCUCUUUCGCCUGUGAAGAUAAUGACGGUAGCAGGUAAAGAAACCCGGCCGUACAUCCGUGCCAGCAGCCGCGGUAAUACGGAGGGGGUUAGCGUUGUUCGGAAUUACUGGGCGUAAAGCGCACGUAGGCGGACCAGAAAGUUGGGGGUGAAAUCCCGGGGGCUCAACCCCGGAACUGCCUCCAAAACUAUUGGUCUAGAGUUCGAGAGAGGUGAGUGGAAUUCCAAGUGUAGAGGUGAAAUUCGUAGAUAUUUGGAGGAACACCAGUGGCGAAGGCGGCUCACUGGCUCGAUACUGACGCUGAGGUGCGAAAGGUGUGGGGAGCAAACAGGAUUAGAUACCCCUGGUAGUCCACACCGUAAAACGAUGAAUGCCAGUCGUCGGGUAGCAUGCUAUUCGGUGACACACCUAACGGAUUAAGCAUUCCGGCCUGGGGAGUACGGUCGCAAGAUUAAAACCUCAAAUUGAA
This 544-nucleotide ribosomal RNA is filed under the name uncultured bacterium. RNAcentral describes it as "bacterial SSU rRNA". It matches the Rfam family "Bacterial small subunit ribosomal RNA", at positions 355 to 910 of the family's 1533-position model. The record is from RNAcentral.